RNAcentral lists this ribosomal RNA (497 nucleotides) under uncultured bacterium. Its description in RNAcentral is "partial 16S ribosomal RNA". It matches the Rfam family "Bacterial small subunit ribosomal RNA", at positions 28 to 507 of the family's 1533-position model. The record is from RNAcentral.
GAUGAACGCUGGCGGCGUGCCUAAUACAUGCAAGUCGAGCGAACAGACGAGGAGCUUGCUCCUCUGACGUUAGCGGCGGACGGGUGAGUAACACGUGGAUAACCUACCUAUAAGACUGGGAUAACUUCGGGAAACCGGAGCUAAUACCGGAUAAUAUAUUGAACCGCAUGGUUCAAUAGUGAAAGACGGUUUUGCUGUCACUUAUAGAUGGAUCCGCGCCGCAUUAGCUAGUUGGUAAGGUAACGGCUUACCAAGGCAACGAUGCGUAGCCGACCUGAGAGGGUGAUCGGCCACACUGGAACUAAGACACGGUCCAGACUCCUACGGGAGGCAGCAGUAGGGAAUCUUCCGCAAUGGGCGAAAGCCUGACGGAGCAACGCCGCGUGAGCGAUGAAGGUCUUCGGAUCGUAAAACUCUGUUAUUAGGGAAGAACAAAUGUGUAAGUAACUAUGCACGUCUUGACGGUACCUAAUCAGAAAGCCACGGCUAACUACGUG